CUGGAGUUAGUUAGAAUUUGUUGAGAAGCUGUUGAAUAAUUCACGUCAUUUGUCUAUUUAUACACAGCAAAAUGUAAUGUACAUUCAACUUUUUGGAACACAAUUAAGUUCUUCUUCCUUCUUCAUUUUUGUUUAAUAUCAUGUUUUUUCCACUAAGAAACCAGGCAGCAAUGAAGACAUACUAAUAGCUGAGGUCAAAGGUAUCAGUACUUUCGACAAAUGUACGCGAGCUACACUUCAGUGGCGGGUUUUUGCAGCUCAAUUAUACGGUCCGAAUAAGUGUGAAGAAGAGUGAAGAUCAAUUUUUUAGGGGCUUUGAGGAACCUAAGAAAAUCACACUUUGGCUGAGACCGAACAGCAACCCGACGACAACAUUUUGGUUUAUUUUGUGAUAGUAGAUGUAUUUUGAACUAUUUGUUUCACUUCACUUCUUCAGUUGUGUUAUAAAGAUCACUUCAGGCUGCUACUAAAUGCAUUUUAUACCUUCGGGAAAUGGAACUUCAGUGAGAAAUGCAAAUAAUUAAAUUACAAUAAGCAAUUGACAUUGAUAACCUUGAGUAGCAGGUUUUUUAUGUUUGAAGAUGACACAGGCUUUGACACAUAUAAUUACAUUACAUUACAUCAAAUUGCUCACCUUGUGCCUCAACCAUUACUGCCAUGUCGAGAAACAUCUGGUGAAGCUCCAGUAGACUCUUCUCUAUUUCCUUGGUCGCGUCAUAAUGGUCUUGGAUCUCCACCCCCAUUUCUACUUUCUAGCACCUUCCCCUGCCGUGCUCCUAGAGACAUUAUAGUCACUACAUCAAGAAAGUUAAUAUAAAUGUCGGCAAUUAGUCUAAAAUUGAGAUCGAAAGUUCGAAAAUUGAGGAAAUUAUUUAGGAAAGAUCAAGUUGGAGAGAUUAUCUAUGACAAAAAUGUAGAGCUAAAUACCUGUAUUGCUUUAGACAGAAAUUUCUCGCCACUGCGGUCUGCUAUGGCUCCACGUUCGAUGAACCGGAGAUGGAAGGAAACAGGGAUUUUGAGCUUUUGAUUUCUGAGGUUUCAAUUGUCGGAGACACAAUUUUUUUCUUUACCCAUUUCUCCCACUUCUACUCGGAUGUCGACCUGUUUGGUUGGUCUGCUAUGGCGACACAUUCGGUGAACGUGCGGCAUGAUGACAGAGAUGAAGGGCUUGGAUUUGGAUUUUGGGUCUCCUUCCAGUUCGACUUUGGGAGGGAGAAGCUGAAAUACAGGGUUUACAUUUAUCAAACCUUUUUUUUUUUUUUUUUUUCCUUAUGCCAUGUCACAUUUUCAAAUGCCUGUUUUCGACCCUGUAUUUCAGCCUGUCCCUGUAGCCCCAUUGAUAAACUUUUAUCAUUGAAAAAAUAAUAGAAUAACUGUAUUUCUGGAUGAAAGUUCAAAAUGAAGAUCGACAGCAAUUUUUUCUUUAAAAGAAACAUGGGCAGGAUCAUGCUUUCAGAGUCCAUCUUCAGUAGUGUGUCGGUAUCAAUAGAAAAUAAAAAUUCAUGGGCCAUAUAUUAAAUCUGGUAGGUACUUAGAGGUUAGGUUCAACUCCUCUCAAGUAUGUACUUUUAUUUUUCGUGAUUAAUACGUAUAAUGAUUUAAAAAAAGAAAAAAAAAAAUCACGCUAUUGAACAGUGAAGUUGGCUGUAGUUGUUGUGCACUCUCAUUGAACUAUCUUGUCCUAAAGUUUAACUAUUAAAAUGAGUAUAUGUUUGUUUAAAUCUUGUUUUUAACACAUCCUUGUGACAUCAUUUUUCAGUCAUAGGCAUUAUACAUGCACAUUUUCUUAAAACUGGACUUUGCUUGCUCUCGUUGAAAGGAAAAAAAAUAUUUAUUUAAAUAAUUAAAUCUUACCUCGAGCCACGUCUAAAUAUAUAUAUAUAUAUCUCACUUUGUGGCCAGUUUUUUAUGCAGUGAGUGAUUAGCUUGCAAUUUGACAUGGCAGUUGGGCUGGAUAUUCAAAGUGAUGGCAGGGAAUAUGCUGGCAAGAUUACAGGAUUUCUGGUUUUAUCUUGCAUGAUUGCUGCUACUGGAGGAAUAAUCUAUGGUUAUGACCUUGGAAUUUCAGGUUUUUUAUCUACUUGUUUCUUGUCUACCAUUGAUGAACUGAUUGAAUUAAAUACUGAAUGAAAAUAAUUUGAAGUGUUUGAUUAAAUUCUAUAUGCUCGUGUGAAGGUGGGUUGACCUCAAUGGAAUCAUUUCUGAAGGAAUUCUUUCCACAAGUAUACGACAAAAUGAAGGAAGAUACGAAGAUAAGCAACUAUUGCAAAUUUGAUAGCCAACUGUUGACACUUUUCACUUCCUCUCUCUAUAUAGCUGGUCUUAUUGCCUCUUUCUUUGCUUCGCCGGUCACUAGGACCUUUGGUCGGAAGAUAUCAAUCUUGAUUGGUGGAACGGCAUUGAUAGCCGGUGCUACCCUUGGUGGAGCGUCUUAUAAUAUUUACAUGCUAUUGCUUGGUCGUGUUUUGCUCGGUAUUGGUCUGGGUUAUACAAAUCAGGUAAUUAGACAGUGUUGUGUUGUGUUGUGUUGUGUUGUGUGACAUUUUAGCAAUCUAGUAAUCUUAGUGACUAGUAUUAUGUUGAGUGCGUUAUUUAAACACGAGUCCUUGUCUAUCACCUUCAACAUUUAUAUCAAGUGGUUCAAAUUAUAUUAGAGCAGGUAAAGCCAUAAAGGUUCCGGGCUCUAGUCACGCUGCCACCCGUAUAUAAAGAAAUUGUGCCCGUUGGAAGGCUUUAAUUGGAAAAUAAUGAACUCUGCCCUCAUGUUAAGGGAUACUCGACCCUCUUUAAUCACUUAUUCGUUCUUCUGUUUCCUUUGGCCUAAACAAUAUACCAUAAAUGGAGAAGAAAUGGGAACAAAGCGUCUAAGCAGGAAAUAGUAUUAGGGAAUUCGUUGAAACCAGAAACAGGUUUACUCAGAAAAGAAGUACAAACCAGAAGGGCUAAUCCGACCUAAUCGUACCAUGUGAGCCUUCAAAAAAGUGUUCUAGGUGAAAAAAAAUACUCUCUAGCUAGAAAUGCUGAUAGCAAAUAGUAUUGUAAAAAUGCAGUGGUUCCCUUUUGAUGCUCAAACAGAAAUAUAUAAAUCUAAAGAAACUUUUUCGAGAAUCUUAUAUUUAGAAUUUCAAUAAAUUUACUAUAGAGUAAAAGACAAAAACAAUUGUUUCACCUGGUUUAUGAAACUAAAUAUUAAUCUCACAUCUAUUAUCUGCAGGCAAUUCCAUUAUACCUCUCAGAAAUGGCACUCUCCAAAUACAGAGGAGCUUUCAACACUGGUUUUCAAAUCUGUCUUAACAUUGGUUUUAUACUAGCCACAUUCAUAAACUAUUGUGCUGUUAAAAUCGGAGGAGGUUGGGGUUGGCGAAUUUCAUUAGCAAUGGCUGCAGCCCCUGCUGCAAUUCUGACUAUUGGGGCGUUUUUCCUCCCGGAGACACCAAAUAGCCUAAUUGAGCACGAAAAUGAUCACGAAAAGGCCAAACGAAUGCUGCAAAGAAUCCGAGGUGUUGAUGAUGUCCAAGUAGAACUAGACGAUCUCAUAAAAGCAAGUAAUGCUUCAAAGUCUGUCAAACACCCGUUUAAGAAUCUGUUGCAAAGAAAAUAUAGGCCUCAACUCGUUAUGUCAAUAGCAAUUCCGUUCUUCCUACAAGUGAAUUUAUUUUCAAUGAAACAUGUACCUGCAUCAAAUAAUAUCUAAUAGGUCUCUCCAUAUCUAUCUAUCUCAAUCUAAAGUAAUGGAAAAUGUAGAGAAUAAUAGGCAGAUUAGGGCAAACAAAUUCCUCUAUUUUUGUUCCUUUUAAGACAAAAGAAAUUACCUUGCCUCUGGCUUUGGAUUUGAGCCCAUGAACAACAGUUAAAUCGAGAUGGUCUCUAAAGAUAGUUGAAGAGAAAGCGAUAGCAGCGUUUGGUGUUGAUGGUGAUGAUGGCUAACCCAUCCAUUCAAAUGUCGACUGUUGUUCUUCCCUUUGUGGAUCUUCCGAGAAUUCCAAUUUUGCAGAGCAUUUGGGGGGGAAAUUUUUCUUAGAUUUGAAAGAACGAACCAAAUUGGGUUAGGGAAAUGGCUAUCAACAGUGAUAUACGUAAAGCCAUUGUAGAAAAACCAGUUUGAAUCAAAUACGUGUUGAUUAUCGUCACAAUGAGGGAGGAAAAACAAGGGUUUGCUUUGCGAGAAGAGAAAUAGAGGCAUUGCAAGAAAUCAAAGCAAUAAUCUCCAGAUAUCUUGUGAACAGUUAAACCUGUUCAUGAAAAGUGGAACCAGCUAGGCGUGAAAUGUCGUGUGACAUGAAUGAACAGCACACCCCCAAAGCCUCUCUUUUAAGAGAGAGAAGAGACGUAAAUUUUCAAAAAUGCUACUUGGACAGGUUAAAAUACAGGGUAGAAAACAGGGAUUUGAAAAAUCUGGCGUGACAUAAUGUUUUUGGAGGGAAGCUUUGCACAGUGGACUGGACCGGUUUGGAUUAACCCUCAUUUUUUUAUAAGGAAAAAAUCUCAUUGGAUCCCAGUUCAUCCCACUCAUUUGCAGGGUAGAAAAAAUCUCCCUGUUCAAAAUCCAUAGAAAAAUCAGCCUCAAAUAAAUCUGUUUUCGUUGGUGAAGAAAUCGUUUUGCUCCAAAUUGAAAUCAAGAAGUCCAUUGGUAAACCAUCUUGGGCUUUUCCUUUUAAUCUUCUGGAUUUUGACGUUUGGAUCUUUGCAAGAUUAUUCGUUAAGCUUUGUUAUUUUAAGGAUAAAUGUUUCAGUGCUUUAAUGAUUUCGGAAGUUCGCAAACAAAGAUAAUAGGGAGAAAUUCUGCAGUUUCAUUUCUUUUCACUCUCCAAUGUUUAGAGGAGUAAUUUCUGCUUCUAUUUUGAGAAUUGAUUUUGAGAGCCUGGAAAAUGAGUUACUUCUCAUGUAAUAGAUUUAGCAACUUUGGAUAACUCACCAUCGAAUACAUGUGCAAGAGAUGCAGCUGGAACUUCAGUUAGACAGUUAGAAUAGUUGGAGAUAGUAUGAUCUAGUCCACGGGUCAAUUGUGUAUAGUUAAUACAGCUGGAGUUAGUUAGAAUUUGUUGAGAAGCUGUUGAAUAAUUCACGUCAUUUGUCUAUUUAUACACAGCAAAAUGUAAUGUACAUUCAACUUUUUGGAACACAAUUAAGUUCUUCUUCCUUCUUCAUUUUUGUUUAAUAUCAUGUUUUUUCCACUAAGAAACCAGGCAGCAAUGAAGACAUACUAAUAGCUGAGGUCAAAGGUAUCAGUACUUUCGACAAAUGUACGCGAGCUACACUUCAGUGGCGGGUUUUUGCAGCUCUAUUAUACGGUUCGACUAAGUGUGAAGAAGAGUGAAGAUCAAUUUUUUAGGGGCUUUGAGGAACCAAAGAAAAUCACACUUUGGCUAAGACCGAACAGCAACCCGACGACAACAUUUUGGUUUAUUUUGUGAUAGUAGAUGUAUUUUGAACUAUUUGUUUCACUUCACUUCUUCAGUUGUGUUAUAAAGAUCACUUCAGGCUGCUACUAAAUGCAUUUUAUACCUUCGGGAAAUGGAACUUCAGU
RNAcentral lists this long non-coding RNA (5527 nucleotides) under Olea europaea (common olive). RNAcentral describes it as "long non-coding RNA (OEUR_LNC012096)". The record is from RNAcentral. Lineage: Eukaryota; Viridiplantae; Streptophyta; Magnoliopsida; Lamiales; Oleaceae.